RNAcentral lists this ribosomal RNA (496 nucleotides) under uncultured bacterium. RNAcentral's name for it is "partial 16S ribosomal RNA". It matches the Rfam family "Bacterial small subunit ribosomal RNA", at positions 28 to 507 of the family's 1533-position model. The record is from RNAcentral.
GAUGAACGCUGGCGGCGUGCCUAAUACAUGCAAGUCGAGCGAACAGAUGAGAGCUUGCUCCUCUGACGUUAGCGGCGGACGGGUGAGUAACACGUGGAUAACCUACCUAUAAGACUGGGAUAACUUCGGGAAACCGGAGCUAAUACCGGAUAAUAUAUUUAACCGCAUGGUUCAAUAGUGAAAGACGGUUUUGCUGUCACUUAUAGAUGGAUCCGCGCCGCAUUAGCUAGUUGGUAAGGUAACGGCUUACCAAGGCAACGAGUCAUAGCCGACCUGCGAGGGUGAUCCGCCACGCUGGAUCUGGGACACGGGUCAGACUCCUACGGGAGGCAGGAGUAGGGAAUCUUCCGCAAUGGGCGAAAGCCUGACGGAGCAACGACGCGUGAAUGAUGAAGGUCCUCGGAUCUUAAAACUCUGUUAUUAGGGAAGAACAAAUGUGUAAGUAACUAUGCACGUCUUGACGGUACCUAAUCAGAGAGCCACGGCUAACUACGUG